Molecule: ribosomal RNA, 406 nt
Filed under: uncultured bacterium
Lineage: Bacteria
Description: partial 16S ribosomal RNA
Rfam family: Bacterial small subunit ribosomal RNA
Source: RNAcentral
AUUGAACGCUGGCGGCAGGCCUAACACAUGCAAGUCGAACGAGUGGCGGACGGGUGAGUAAUGUCUGGGAAACUGCCUGAUGGAGGGGGAUAACUACGGGAAACGGUAGCUAAUACCGCAUACCAUCGGAUGUGCCCACAUGGGAUUAGCUAGUGGGUGGGGUAAAGGCUCACCUAGGCGACGAUCCCUAGCUGGUCUGAGAGGAUGACCAGCCACACUGGGACUGAGACACGGUCCAGACUCCUACGGGAGGCAGCAGUGGGGAAUAUUGCACAAUGGGCGCAAGCCUGAUGCAGCCAUGCCGCGUGAAUGAAGAAGGCCUUCGGGUUGUAAAGUUCUUUCAGCGGGGAGGCGUUACCCGCAGAAGAAGCACCGGCUAACUCCGUGCCAGCAGCCGCGGUAAUAC